AUAUAUGAAUAUCGUUUGUGUUGCCCCAUCCAAAAAGAAAGCGAAAUAAUUGAGAUUUGCGAAAAAGAAAAUGAUAUACAGGAAAUGGAGUCUCCUCACCGGCCCUCCUGCCAUCGCCGGCGCCGUCGUCGGUUCCGUCGUUGUUUUCCAGCUCCUCUUCGGCAAAUCAGGCUCGUCUGUUAGAUUGCAGCAGAAGAAGGAAGAGCUGGCAUCAACCAACAAAUAGAGAUGUUAAACUAGAGACAAGGAUGCUCUCUCAUGGUUUUUGUGUUUUCUGUGUACAUCAAUAAUGGACAUAUUUUAGUUUUCAUUCAAACAAGAACUUGAGUUUAAUGGAAUACUAAUAAAUUAGUCUGAUUUCUUUUUGUUUAGUUCUGUCUGUACCAUGAGAAUUGUAGUAUUCAAUUUGUCAGCUAAUCUUGCGCACUGUGGAAGUGCAUGAUCAUCAGGAAUUCUUUAGUGCUGUUCAUUUGUGGAUGCCUGCCUUUCAUUCUCGGUAAUUUAUUUUGGUUAAUGAAUGAUGCAGUCUUAAUGCAAACUUUUUAA
Long non-coding RNA from Daucus carota subsp. sativus, 546 nucleotides. RefSeq lists it as uncharacterized. The transcript has 2 exons. Lineage: Eukaryota; Viridiplantae; Streptophyta; Magnoliopsida; Apiales; Apiaceae. The record is from RefSeq and is a predicted model, not a curated record.